Molecule: ribosomal RNA, 253 nt
Filed under: uncultured bacterium
Lineage: Bacteria
Description: partial 16S ribosomal RNA
Rfam family: Bacterial small subunit ribosomal RNA
Source: RNAcentral
UACAGAGGUGGCAAGCGUUGUUCGGAAUUACUGGGCGUAAAGGGCGCGUAGGCGGUCUUUUAAGUUCCGUGUGAAAUCCCUCGGCUCAACUGGGGAACGGCACGGGAAACUGGGAGGCUUGAGUUCGGGAGAGGGAAGCGGAAUUCCGGGUGUAGCGGUGAAAUGCGUAGAUAUCCGGAGGAACACCGGUGGCGAAGGCGGCUUCCUGGACCGACACUGACGCUGAGGCGCGAAAGCCAGGGGAGCAAACGGG